GGCGAACGCUGGCGGCGUGCUUAACACAUGCAAGUCGAACGGAAAGGCCUGCUUUCCCUUGUGGAUUGCGGGUACUCGAGUGGCGAACGGGUGAGUAACACGUGAGUGAUCUGCCCCCAACUUGGGUAUAAGCCUGGGAAACUGGGUCUAAUUCCCGAUAGGACUGCAGGGUGGUGCCUGUGGUGGAAAACGAUUUUCUAGUGGUUGGGGAUGAGCUCGCGGCCUAUCAGCUUGUUGGUGGGGUAAUGGCCUACCAAGGCGGCGACGGGUAGCCGGCCUGGGAGGGUGGACGGCCACAUUGGGACUGAGAUACGGCCCAGACUCCUACGGGAGGCAGCAGUGGGGAAUAUUGCACAAUGGGCGGAAGCCUGAUGCAGCGACGCCGCGUGGGGGAUGACGGCCUUCGGGUUGUAAACUCCUUUCGACCGCGAGGAAGCCACCUGGUUGGAAGGGUGGUGACGGUAGUGGUAGAAGAAGCACCGGCUAACUACGU
RNAcentral lists this ribosomal RNA (493 nucleotides) under uncultured bacterium. RNAcentral's name for it is "partial 16S ribosomal RNA". It matches the Rfam family "Bacterial small subunit ribosomal RNA", at positions 28 to 506 of the family's 1533-position model. The record is from RNAcentral.